Molecule: non-coding RNA, 653 nt
Organism: Melanotaenia boesemani (Boeseman's rainbowfish)
Lineage: Eukaryota; Metazoa; Chordata; Actinopteri; Atheriniformes; Melanotaeniidae
Source: the annotation of a RefSeq genome assembly
AAUUCAUUCUGUAUUUGCUGAGACGUCAACAUGAUGAAUAAGAAUUUGGAUUCAUUCAUUUCUGCAGCUGAGUGACUGUGUGUGUUUGCAUAUGUGUCCUGCCUCUCUGCUCCCAGCUGUUAAGAGGUCAGUGUUGAUCAGUGGCUGUUCAGACCUUUCAGAGACACUGAACACACCAGCAGCACAAUAAUGAUGUCACUGACUCUACUGCUGACCACCCUGGGGCUCCUUGUUCAGGGUUCAUCAGGAGAAAUCAUCCUGACUCAGACUCCUGGAUCUCAGUCUGUUGUUCCAGGACAGACUGUCUCCAUCAGAUGUAAAACCAGUACAAGUGUUGGCAGCUGGCUUCACUGGUACCUUCAGAAACCAGGAGAAGCUCCUAAACUCCUGAUAUAUACAGCUUCAAGUCGUCAGUCUGGAAUUCCAAGUCGUUUUAGUGGAAGUGGAUCUGGUUCUGAUUACACUCUGACCAUCAGUGGAGUUCAGACUGAAGAUUCAGGAGUUUAUUACUGUCAGCAGGGUUACUACACACCGUUCACACAGUGAUACAACGUCGUACAAAAACCUCCCUCAGCUGGAGAGGAACUGAUCUCAACCAACAGCUGCACUGAGACUAAAACAGGAGAAGAACUGAGACUAAAGUGCAGAUUUUU